Molecule: long non-coding RNA, 605 nt
Filed under: Brassica napus (rape)
Lineage: Eukaryota; Viridiplantae; Streptophyta; Magnoliopsida; Brassicales; Brassicaceae
Description: long non-coding RNA (BNAP_LNC018302)
Source: RNAcentral
AUUUUUUUAUUUUUCAAAAUUUUAAAUCUUAUCCCCAAAACUCUAAACCCUAAACCCUAAACUCUAAACCCUAAAUCCUAAACCCUAAAUCCUAAAUCCUAAACCCUAAACCCUAAACCUUAAACCCUAAACUCUAAACCCUAAACCCUAAACUCUAAACCCUAAACCCUAAAUCCUAAACCCCACCCUUUAACUCUAAACCCUAAGUUUGUGACUUUUGAUAAAACAUUAAGUGCUAUUUUUGUGACUUUUGACCUUGAGUGCUAGUUUGGGAACAAAAACUUAAUUUAGUGCUAUUUUUGUAUUUUUCUCUUAAAAAUAUCCUAAAGAUAAGUUCUUGGGCAAAUCUCCAAAAUAGCAUAUUUCUAAGUUUAUAUCACAAAAAUAGCACUCAAAAACUAAAAUGACCAAAAUAGCAUUUUACCUUUUGAAAAUUUUAAUUUUUUAAUUUUUCAAAAUUUGAAAUCUUAUCCCCAAAACCUCAUUUCUCAACUCUAAACCCUAAACCCUAAACUCUAAACCCUAAACCCUAAACACUAAACCCUAAACUCUAAACCCUAAACCCUAAACUCUAAACCCUAAACCCUAAAUCCUAAAUUCCACCC